This is an RNA transcript of Oncorhynchus keta (chum salmon), 3402 nucleotides long. RefSeq lists it as uncharacterized. Lineage: Eukaryota; Metazoa; Chordata; Actinopteri; Salmoniformes; Salmonidae. The record is from RefSeq and is a predicted model, not a curated record. The transcript is spliced from 4 exons.
UCCGGUUGAAGUCACAUGAUCGCUCAUUAUGGCCAUGCAAACUAGGCAGCUUAAAUCCAGGCCCUGCUUGGGCUAACAUCAGACAUUCAAAUAGCCGUGCUUUUCUAGAGACAUGGGACAAGGCAGUCACGGGGGACCUUUCCUUAGCAGCGACAGACGGCAACACACACUACAAAGGAGCUAUCAUUGUCAAAUAUGAACAGAAACUAUGCUCUCUUUUCGGAUGGUUUGAACUUUUUCCUUUCGUUGCUUUGCGGAGGUUGUGUGUUAUAAAUGAAAACUGAAGUUUUCCGUGAAUUGUUGAUACCUACGGCGAACGGGUGCCACACCUUCAUUUAGCGCAACAGCUCCACUACCCAGCUGGCCAGAUGGGGUGCCAAUGCUGUCGGAUGCUGAAAAGUUACAUCUAUGAUCCGACCGCUCAGGUGGACGUCCACGGCAGGAAGAGGGACCCGGCUGAGAGCUCCCUCUACCAGUCCCACCACCUACCAGGAGACAGCGGGAACCAGUUCAACAUCAAGCAGAACCAGGGCUUCCACAACCUCGGCUUCAGCAACAAGUACACCGAAAGAGGAGGUGGCGGAAGCCUCAAGCUGGAGAUCGACAACAACCACAUCAACAAGCUCCACGCCGUGCCCACCAAUCCAGAGAGGGAGUUGGGCACGGGGCAGGCAGCCAAGCCUCAUGUGGGAGAGGGUGGUGGAGAUCUAUAUAUCCUCCAUCCAGAGGGCCAGGUGUCAAGACGAGAUCCAUCCAAGGGCCUCAAUCUAGUCCGAGUCUAUCCCAACACACCCUCCCUGGAUCUUACUCUCAAUCUGACCCACUCAGGUGACAUUGACUCUCACCCAGACAAGAUUAGGAUGGUCCGGAACUUCUCGGAUCCCUCCAUCGGGGACAGAUAUGGGGUGGGGUGCAACACCUCAUCAGUGGACGAGCUGGACGAGGGGGUGGGGGGCACGCCGGAGUACCUGGGCGACACGGGAGAUGAGCAGAGUGUCCUGUCUGUGGACAUUCAAACCAGUACGACUAGCCUGUCCUCGGCAGACACAAACGACGAUAGGGGGGCGCCGGAUGCCACUGCCACAGAGAAUGGGAUCGGGAUCUCAGUGAAGAAGAGCGAGGAUGAGGAGAAGGAAGGGGAAGACGAUGACGUGCAGAGCGUCACAGACUCUAUGGUGGCAGAAGCUCUGGCAGCUCUAGAGGCAGCGACUGCCGGGGAGGACUAACUGUCAAAAAAACACAAUCUAACAUCCAUUCAGCUUCAGUAUCUGAUGGGGCCGAAUGAGGAGAUUCUGAUGUAUCUUUUAACAUAUCACAUGUCUGCAUUCUCAGGAGAAGGAGAGAAGACUCUUGGCGCUCGACUGUGAAUAUUCCCAGCGUCCUAAUCCCCAAUAUAUGAGCCCUGGGACCAGGCCUAAUGAAGGCCCUUGGAGCGUUACUCAGGCCAAAAGGAGACGCCAGGGACUCACAAACACCUGAUUACACCCGGGCUAAGGCGGUGAACGUGCUAACUUUGGCUCACCACAUGAUAGCUAUUAGUGUGUCUCUCCCAACCUCCCCUCGCAGUUGGAGAGGAGACACCGAAAUAUCCCAAUCUUGUGAUGUUUCUUUUUUUAGCCACAUUAUCUCUCCCAUCUCCUUUUCUUUACUGAGUGUUUGUCUCCAUUUAAUCACACACCAUCCCUCUCCCCGUAAAGACACGGUUUUGAGGGGGGCAUCUGUUUCUGUGGUAAUACAGUGUUGCUUCUGCUUUAAUAUAUAACAGUGGCCUUCCUCUUAAUAUCUCUCCAUAUCAACUCCUUCACAGUAACAACCCCUUUCUCACGGUGCCCUAAAGUGACUGCUCAAACAGAGGUUAUCAUCUGAUCUGCUGUUUGAGGUGUAAACUUGCUUGUUUUACUAGAAGGAAAACCUAAAUGUGCCCGUCUGACUCAGCCACUAAACUCUCCCAGAGAGGUUACAUGAUGUAAUAACAGCUCACUCAGCAGCACCACAGUUAAUCUUACGACCCUAACCCUGACUGACUAACUGCCUGAGUGACUGAGUGACUGACUGCCUGAGUGACUGAGGGACUGCCUGAGUGACUGACUGCCUGAGUGACUGACUGCCUGAGUGACUGACUGCCUGAGUGACUGACUGCCUGAGUGACUGACUGCCUGAGUGACUGACUGACUGCCUGAGUGACUGACUGACUGACUGAGUGACUGACUGACUGCCUGACUGACUGCCUGAGUGACUGACUGACUGCCUGAGUGACUGACUGACUGCCUGAGUGACUGCCUGACUGAGUGACUGACUGACUGCCUGAGUGACUGACUGACUGCCUGAGUGACUGACUGACUGCUUGAGUGACUGGCUGACUGCUUGAGUGACUGACUGACUGCCUGAGUGACUGACUGACUGCCUGAGUGACUGACUGAGUGACUGACUGACUGCCUGAGUGACUGACUGACUGCCUGAGUGACUGACUGACUGCCUGACUGAGUGACUGAGUGACUGCCUGACUGACUGACUGACUGACUGACUGCCUGAGUGACUGACUGACUGCCUGAGUGACUGACUGCCUGCCUGAGUGACUGACUGCCUGCCUGAGUGACUGACUGCCUGCCUGAGUGACUGACUGCCUGCCUGAGUGACUGACUGCCUGCCUGAGUGACUGACUGCCUGCCUGAGUGACUGACUGCCUGCCUGAGUGACUGACUGACUGUCUGGGUGAUUGACUGCCUGAGUGACUGACUGCCUGAGGGACUGACUGCCUGAGGGACUGACUGCCUGAGUGACUGACUGCCUGAGUGACUGACUGCGUGAGUGACUGCCUGCCUGAGUGACUGCCUGAGUGACUGCCUGAGUGACUGACUGACUGCCUGAGGGACUGCCUGAGGGACUGACUGACUGCCUGAGGGACUGACUGACUGCCUGAGGGACUGACUGACUGCCUGAGGGACUGACUGACUGCCUGAGGGACUGACUGACUGCCUGAGGGACUGACUGACUGCCUGAGGGACUGACUGACUGCCUGAGGGACUGACUGACUGCCUGAGGGACUGACUGACGGUAGGGGGUUUCAUGGUCUGUGAUGUCACAGAGCAGGUUAAAUUAACUACUACCCCUUCAGCCGUCUUGGGGUCUACUUUUGGUGUCUGUGUGUGUGUGUGUCUGUAUGUGUGUGUGUAUUAAAAAUACACAGAGGGUUACAGUUUCAACACUGGCGUCAGGUAGAAAUCUAUAUGUUGAAGAGUUAAUGGCGCUUUGUCUGCCCAACCUGUACGGUAGAUGGUCUAUUUUCCAUUAUAUAACAGAACAGUACAGUAUCCUUGUGAAGAAGCACAGACUACAGUGGCUCAGAAAUGUAUUGUAUGAUUUCUGUAAAAAUUCUCAUAAAUAAAAUAACCAUGAAAAUAA